AUUGAACGCUGGCGGCAUGCUUUACACAUGCAAGUCGAACGGUAACAGGCCGCAAGGUGCUGACGAGUGGCGAACGGGUGAGUAAUGCAUCGGAACGUGCCCAGUCGUGGGGGAUAACGCAGCGAAAGCUGCGCUAAUACCGCAUACGAUCUAUGGAUGAAAGCGGGGGACCGUAAGGCCUCGCGCGAUUGGAGCGGCCGAUGUCAGAUUAGGUAGUUGGUGGGGUAAAGGCUCACCAAGCCAACGAUCUGUAGCUGGUCUGAGAGGACGACCAGCCACACUGGGACUGAGACACGGCCCAGACUCCUACGGGAGGCAGCAGUGGGGAAUUUUGGACAAUGGGCGCAAGCCUGAUCCAGCAAUGCCGCGUGCAGGAAGAAGGCCUUCGGGUUGUAAACUGCUUUUGUACGGAACGAAACGGUCCUGGUUAAUACCCGGGGCUAAUGACGGUACCGUAAGAAUAAGCACCGGCUAACUACGUGCCAGCCGCCGCGGUAA
Molecule: ribosomal RNA, 498 nt
Filed under: uncultured bacterium
Lineage: Bacteria
Description: partial 16S ribosomal RNA
Rfam family: Bacterial small subunit ribosomal RNA
Source: RNAcentral